RNAcentral lists this ribosomal RNA (790 nucleotides) under uncultured bacterium. RNAcentral describes it as "bacterial SSU rRNA". It matches the Rfam family "Bacterial small subunit ribosomal RNA", at positions 55 to 858 of the family's 1533-position model. The record is from RNAcentral.
AUGCAAGUCGAACGAUUAAACUUCUCUUCGGAGAAGAUAUAAAGUGGCGCACGGGUGAGUAACACGUAGGUAAUGUACCUUUGGGUGGGGAAUAACUUAGGGAAACUUAAGCUAAUACCGCAUAAUUCAGCGGCUUCUUCGGAAGACAGUUGUUAAAGAUUUAUCGCCUAAAGAGCAGCCUGCGGCAGAUUAGCUAGUUGGUAAGGUAACGGCUUACCAAGGCUACGAUCUGUAUCCGACCUGAGAGGGUGGUCGGACACACUGACACUGAAUAACGGGUCAGACUCCUACGGGAGGCAGCAGUCGGGAAUCUUGGGCAAUGGGCGAAAGCCUGACCCAGCAACGCCGCGUGAAGGAUGAAGUCUCUCGGGAUGUAAACUUCGAAAGAAUAGGAAGAAUAAAUGACGGUACUAUUUAUAAGGUCCGGCUAACUACGUGCCAGCAGCCGCGGUAAUACGUAGGGACCAAGCGUUGUUCGGAUUUACUGGGCGUAAAGGGCGCGUAGGCGGCGUGACAAGUCAAUUGUGAAAUCUCCGGGCUUAACUCGGAACGGUCAAUUGAUACUGUUGUGCUAGAGUACAGAAGGGGCAAUCGGAAUUCUUGGUGUAGCGGUGAAAUGCGUAGAUAUCAAGAGGAACACCUGANGUGAAGACGGGUUGCUGGGCUGAUACUGACGCUGAGGCGCGAAAGCUAGGGUAGCAAACGGGAUUAGAUACCCCGGUAGUCCUAGCCCUAAACGAUGAAUACUUGGUGUCUGGAGUUUUAAUUCUCCGGGNGCCGUCGCUAACGU